UUCGUUGUGGGAUUACCUGUAACAGGGCUCUAGGUGGUGUGGCAUUAGUGGCUGCUCUUUCCAGUGCAGUGGGAUUUUGCAGUUUUGAAACCAGGAGGUCUGAAGAGGAAUAUCUUGCUCCCACCACUGAGCAUCUUCCUGGACAGGCUUUUUCACUGGAAAGCAGUUUUCACAGUUCAAAGCAUCCAGCAUGUGGAAGCUCAGAAGUAGGGAGUUAUUACUGGUUUCUCUAUGGCCUAGUCUGUUUAGGACAACUAGCAGUGCUUUGCUGCAUCCUGGAAGAGAUUAACUUAAUUUACCUCAAGAUAAAGGAGGUUUGGAUGGAGGUUUGCAGAGGAGUUUGGAUGAGAGAGAGAGAAGCAGUUGAAUUCAAGAUGUGUUGCCCCUAAGAUAGUAUGGAAGGUCUGGAUGGUGAUCCCCUCUCUGGAAUGAAGCAAUGUUGGUGUUCAUAGCAACUAUGUGAGAUUAUAGCUGAGCUAUUUGAGAUUAUAUAAAUGCAUUCACUGAAGAUCCACUUCCCACAUCUCCCAAAGUGAUCAGGAAACCUGUUACUUCCCAAAACUGCUACUGAAGUCACUGCUGCUGUUAGAUCACAGGGGCUAUGUUCUUCAAAUUGAAGUGUCCUUCACUUUAAAUAUGAUCUUUGGGGGCUGCCCAAAAUGUGACUCAUUUCUUCACAGUUUUUCAAAAAUUGCUGCCUCUUUGUUAGCAGAUACCCAUCUUUCUGCUAAAUAAGCCAAGGGUUCUCUUAGCUGUGGUAACUGUGCAGAGUAAAUCACCCUUUGGCCCCUGGAUGCAUCAACCUUUCGCCUCUAACCAUGAAGUAAUUGAAGGAACAGCACAGGAAAGCCUGCAUUCUUGGACUUUGGAGAGGGAACAUCUUUGCCAAGAAACUCUUUCAGGAGAUAAUUUAAGGAAAAUGAGCACCAAAGAAUGGAAAUUACGGGAUUGAAUUCGCUCAAUUCAAAUGGAAAAUGUCUUCAUGGUUUCUACCCAGCAGACCCAAAGAGGCAAUCCUGCCUGAUGACAUCUGUGGGGAGACAUUUGGUCAGAGGAAUCACAUAUCAUUGUGUAAAUAAUCAAGUCUGUCCUCUCCAACCCCAAAAUAUUCUGUUUCCUUCGGAGAAUGGGGGAUUUGAGCUUCCCCAGGAGACAGGUCACUCACUGCCUUUUGCAUUGGCUGCGAUUUGGGCUUUCGAAGUGGGAGAUUUUUCACCUCUUUCUUUGCACGUGAGCAGUGGACCAUUACUUUUGCAGUGCCUCACCAAGGGGAGAGGGCUGAUGCUGGCACCCUUGGCCUGCAAGCAGAGAUGCCAGUGGCUAAGGAAGCCUGAAAUCAAGAGGGCUGCAAAAUCAGUGUCAACUGAAGCAGAGGCCCGCCCAGGCAAGCAGUGAGCAGAGAAAGGACAGCAUUAGCAUCACAUGGAACACUGAGGAGCCUUGGAGAAACCACCAUCUCUCCUCAUGAGCAAACCAACAGAAGUGACUAUAUGUCCCAUCCUGCACUGGGACUGAAAAUGACCUAUGCUUAUUUUGUGAGGUUGAAGUUAACCUGCAGCCAGACCUCCAGUCUGACACAGAUUUCACUAUAGAAAGUUAAAUUUAUACACAGUCUUAAUGGAAAUACUUCAUGCGCAAGGACGGAAACCAGGCGAAAGUAUGCUGAAAUCACAAGAGCUUCUCUAGGGUCAAUCAAAUGGGAUUGGUCCCACAGGUCCCUCUGUACCUGGUGGAAGGAGAAGCAUCUUUAAAAUGGAGAAGGGACGUAAACAGCAAUAAAAUUGGAUGAAAAAUUCAGCAGAAGUGCAAUGCUUGAAACAUAAUUUUAUUUCUAAAACUGACUGGACAGAAUCUAGGUGGGAAACGUGUGGAGAAAGUAGGAAGCAGCCCUCAUCCUUGAGGACAUGUUCAAACAUAUCUUCUAGGUCACUUACUGCUGCCCUAAUCAUUGGAGUUAAAGAUUAUUCUGAAGAGAGGAAGAAAGAGGAAGUUUCAUUUAAAUACCAUAUGGAUAAAUGAAUGCUAUUACCUCCCUCAUUCCUCGAUGUGUGUUUUUUUUAUCAAAAUACAGCUACUGUAGCCUUUGCUUAUCCUAAUUCAACCACAGACUAAAUAGAAAAAACUCUAUUUGCCCUUCCAGACUUGCACAGCAGUAGAAAUACUCUACAAAUAUUAGCUGCAAAAAUUACAAUGGGGGAAUUUUUAUUACUAAUUAAAUAACCACUUUAUGGAAAAGCAGUGUGAAAUUACAUCACGUGUAAAAUGUGUUUAGUAAAAGCAGUUACUACAAUUAAUAAACAGUUUUGUUACAGAUCUUUUUCAUUGGGCUAGAAUUAAUUUAAAGUCCUUUAAGUCCUUUCCCUAUAUUGUCUGACAGUACAAUGCAACAGUUAAUUAGUGACACCGUUAACUGAUUUUAUUGUAUGCUAACUUAAAAGAAACAGUUAUGGAAUUGUAAAGUAGAGAAGUGUAUGUCCACAUGUUGCUACAGUAGCUGUCUUUGAGAUGAUAGCAUUUAGAUAUCAAGAAAAUCAAUUAGAAACAAGCACUGAAGAGAGUAAUUUCCAGUGAUGUCUUAGUAUUUUUUUUCUCUUUUCUCUAUGUGCAAGCACAUAACAAAGUUGUUCAUUGCUUUUGCUUCUCCCACCCUGUUGUUACAAACUGUUGUGUGAAAUCCUGUUCUGAAAUUCUCCUUUUCCCCUGGUGUUUCAAUGAGAGUAAUUGAUCUCCUGGCCUUCUCCGAGGGGGACUGUGCUAGCAAAGCAGGCUCUCCUCAUGUUAUUUUAGGAGAAUUAUUUAUGGGAAAAGAGCUAAGGAAAUAGGGUAAUUACUAAGGACUUGGGAAUGGGGAAAGAUGAACAGAGCUAGAGGUUGUAAAUUAGAUAAAGAAUGGGACUGAAGGAAAUAAAAACACACAGCAAAUCCCGGGAUCCGGUUCUGCUCUUGCUUCACACCAGUUUGCUGUCACUGACCUAAACACUUCUACAUAGCUGUAAGGGGAGUUCAGAGUCUGUGUUCUUACUGCACGUAACAGUCCGAGCAAAAAAAUAGAUCUGGGAAAAAUAAUAAAAUUGUGAAUAUUGUGGCAGAUUCCCAACUGACAGUAAAUUACACAAAUCUCAGAGUUCAACAGGGCUGAUGUGAUUUGGGCUUUAGGAGGGUGUGGUGUGUUUAAUUUUUUUGGGUAUUAUGGAUAACUGAUAAUUAUGUUACUAAACUUGUUUCAUUAUUUUGUGUGUGACUUGCUAUUUUGGGGAUGUAAAAAUACUGUAUAUAUUUAGCUAAACCCAAUACAGAAAUACCCAUCAGAUUGUCUCUAUUUGCUGAACUUAUGCUGCCACAAAAUGGGCACAAAUCUCAGUUUGGUGUUCAGGUUCUUUGAAAUAAAUCACCACAUUGCAA
Apus apus (common swift) is the source of this 3402-nucleotide long non-coding RNA. RefSeq lists it as uncharacterized. NCBI's taxonomy places the organism in Eukaryota, Metazoa, Chordata, Aves, Apodiformes, Apodidae. The transcript is spliced from 8 exons. The record is from RefSeq and is a predicted model, not a curated record.